UGACUGAACAUGAGAACAACAAUAAAGUCAUUGUGAACUGCUCUGUGCUGACACAUGAACACUGUAGACACACAGUGGAGUGGCUGCAUGAGGGUGAAAAGAAAAUAUCAGACGAGGAGAUAAAACCAGGUUCCUGCUCUGUGACUGUGACAUUUAAAAGAUCUCACCGUGAUCAGAAGUUACAGUUUUAUAAUUCAUUGAAGUGCAAAGUGACAGAUGGUUACACUAAAGAAGAACAACUGUUUCCCUUCAAACUCAAGUCCUCAGGUGAGAAAACAGGUGAAAACACAAAAUCAACGACUGCAAAAUUUACCUCAACAACAAGAACAACAACAGCAAUGAGAUCAACAACAACAAUGAGAUCAACAACAACAAUGAGAUCAACAACAACAAUGAGAUCAACAACAACAAUGAGAUCAACAACAACAAUGAGAACAACAACAACAACAACAACAAUGAGAUCAACAACAACAAUGAGAACAACAACAACAACAAUGAGAACAACAAAAUCUUCUCUAGAAUCAAAAAAAUCCUCACAAGGUUUGUUAUUAUGGCUCAUUAUCCUUCCCGUUGGUUUAUCAGCACUCUUAAUAAUUGUUGUGGUCAUAAGAUGGAAGAAACAUAAAGGAAAAGAAGGGCAGCUGGCCGGCAACACUGGACUGAGCUUAAACGCUGCAGAGACUCAGUCUGGACCAGGAACCAAUCAAACCAGGGCUGGAGCUGAUGAUGGUGUUUCCUACGUCUCCAUCAGCUUGCCCAAGAGGACCAGGAGUAAAACCCGGUCCCGUGGUCAUGAUGAAGGUGACACUGUGACCUACAGCACAGUGAAAGCUGUUUCCUCUUCUGCUGGAGAUGAUCCCAACCACCUCUAUUCCACCAUCAAUGAUGUAAAGAAGUAGGAUGAUGCUCAUGAAAAGAGAUAUGGUAGAUGCUGUUUCACUUUUUAGAUGAGAGAGUGAAUGUGAAAAGUCAUGGGUUAUUUUUUUUUGUCUUACGUAUUGGUUGUUUUGAACUAAUAACAUAAUAUUGUUUUGGUAAAUGGACUUAUAUAACACUUUUAUAUAGCUACUCUUUCAGAGCACUCAAAGUGCUUUAUACAACAAAUUCAUUCACCCAAGCAGUUAAGUGCUCCCUAUCUAACAUUAAUACUCAUUCACACUCCGAUGGAAGCAUCGGAGAGCAACAUGGGGUUAGUAUCUUGCCCAAGAAUAUUUGGCAUGCAGACUGGAGCAGACUGGGAUCAAACCACCACCCUUCUGGUUAGUAGCUGACCUGCUCUAACACCUGAGCUACAGACACCAAACUGAAAAUCAUUUAUGUUUCAAAAACAGACAUGUUACCACACAUAUAUAUUUCUGUUUUGACCUAAACUGUUUCUGCCAGAGGGGUAUGUGUUGACGUUUUAUUCCAAGAAACCUUUUCUGUUUGCUGCUGCUCAUAAAAGUUUAGCUGAUAGCGUCCUAUCACAGUACAUGACAUCAUUACUGUCUAAGGCGCAGCUUCAAAUGCAUCCUGAACAGUGCGGACAAAAAUUAGAAAUAAGAAAAAGUACUAAUAAAUUUUUUUUUGCCACUGUAAAUAAAUGCUUUAAAUAAAGGAUCCAGAUACUUUCUUCAUUUUAAGAAGAAACCACUUUAGAGCCUGUGUCAUUUUGUUAUAA
This is a long non-coding RNA of Astatotilapia calliptera (eastern happy), 1660 nucleotides long. NCBI's taxonomy places the organism in Eukaryota, Metazoa, Chordata, Actinopteri, Cichliformes, Cichlidae. The record is from Ensembl.